UAAUGAAUUAUUAUGUAUAGUUUCUGCUUUUAUUUUGACAAAAACUGAAACAGGGGAUAAAACUUGCCGAAUUACAGGUCCAAAUCGAAAGAAAACAACAAUGCAUCAACGAAUUUCUGAAAAUUCAUUCAUUUAUCUACACAAUGAUACUAUCCAUUUGAUUCAGUAAUCUGUCGCAUUUUUCCGCAAGGGCUAUUUAUAAACACAUCGUUUCUGAGAGUGGCCAAAAACAAGAACAAUUUGAUGACUCAUAAGGCAUGCAACCUUAAAAGCCGAGAGUAUCCGAAUUAACCAGGAAGUAAUUUUUGUUUACUUAUAAAAUGCCAACCUCUGUAAAUAGUUAUUUAUUUUGAGUAAACAUUGAGUGAGAAAUAAAGCCAUAGAAUACAUUCAUACCACUCAAAUUCAGCCAGUCAGAAUGAUGGGAAGGAUUGCAGAACUGAGUUUCACUCUCACCUGACUGAUGCAGAUUCAGUAACCUAAUUGCUCAUGAUGGUUUCUGAGAAAAAACAACAGCUUGGUGUAAUUUGACAGUAUUUUUCAGUAUUUGACAGUGAUUCUAUCAUGCAACAGUCAUACCAUGAAGUGUCUCACAGAUUCUCUAUCAAUUCCUGCAAUAUCUAAGAUUACAGUGUAGUGCAAAGAGGAUUAAAUUUCUUGCAAUAAGAAGUAUCUGCACUUCCAAAUACCCCUGUACAGCAUGAACAGUUCCUUCAUUUUUUGAGUGAUUAUAGAGUGAAAAUGUUUCCAUAUAAAAUGUUUUCUUUUUAUGUGUAACACUUGUUAUGCAUGGACAUUAUAAUUCCAAAUCUAUGCACAUUUUGAUUCCAAUAAUUAACCACAAACGUAUUUUAAAUUUGGUUUGAAACAGAAAUAUUGUCCUUAUGUUUGUUUCUAAACAUUAUCUGGUAUUAUUCGUGUUGAUAGUUUCCAUGUCAAUUUUAAAAAAAGUCAGUUCUUUUAAAGAUGCACUCUUACUCCCACAUAAUAUUUACCACAGUUAAUAUUUUUGUUUUGUUAUUCCAAAAAGGAUGAAUAAAUGUUGAAAACAAUGGUUCUAAUGAAGGAUGCCUACUUCUACUUGAAGGAAAUGUGCAUAAAAGACAGUAGUUCUACCAAUUGAGAUCACAGUAAAUCUUUAUGCAUUCACCAAUCAUUUAAUAUGUUUGCGUUUGUUAUACAUGUGUAUGCAUUGAUACUGAAUAAGAGUGUCACUUUAAACAGUUGCCAUGGUAACUUUAGAGUCUAGUUUUCUUAAGAAACUGUAAUUGUUGUCUAAAAACCUUUGUAUUUUCAAUGUGAUACCUUUUUAGCAUGUCCGCUUCAGUCAAGGGAAUAUUUCUGUUAUUUGUUAAUCAUUUGGUCAUACUUUGUAUACAAUUUUUUUUAUAAUUUAACCUUGAAAAUUGCUGACAAUCUCAUACUUAUAUUGAAAUAUUCAGAAUUGCUAGAUUGGUUGAAGUUCACCUUUAUUACAAUUGUCAGGCAAAUCAUGGCAAGAUAUACAUAAUUCUCCUUUUUAACAAAAAGCAAUGUUUAAAGCAUUUUUUUGUAUUUUUAUUGAAUGGUUACCAUGGCAACUAAUUUUUUGUUUGCCUUUAAUCUUCCUAUUUAUAAUACUAUUAACUGUAAAAAUGCAACAGUCAAGCAGUGAAUGGAAGAAUGUAAAUGUUCUUUGUCUUUUACCUUUUUCAAGCUCAUUCUUCAAAAUAUAAAGCAUUUUUAAAAUUUCUUAAAAAUGGACGUUUUUUCAUCAUUGUUUUAAAGUGAAAUAAUUUGCUUAAAACAUUGUUUAUGUUCUGAUAUUUAGGAAUGUGUAUUAAAUUUAUAGAAAUUAAACAAAAUGUGUUGUUUGACAUUAUUUAUUCCAUUUAAAUUCCGAAGUUUUGAAUUUGACCUAUUUUGGCAGACAAAUUGAUAAAAAUGUAAAAUUAAAAGGGCCAUAAUUCUGUAAAAAAUUGAUGGAUUUUGAAGAAAUGUGCAUAUAUGAGUUUGUAAUGACGUAACCUUUAAAAUGAUAUAUCAGUUUAAUAUACCGCAUUAAACUAAUUUUUUACGUUGUUAUUGCUACCAAUAUUAUAACAAAUAUUUAACACUCUUCAUAAACAGCUCUCUAUUCAUAAAUAAUGCCGUAAAUAUAUUCAUAACACAAAACGUAUUCAAUAAAUAGUAGCAUCUAGUACAAGGUUAUAUUAGUAAUCUCUGCCCACAAGAAAAGUUCUAAAACAAAAUCUUUUAUCCUGACUAAGCAACGUUCAUCCAUCUUCCAACCAUUUUUGGUUAGGUCGAAAGAAGGUUAUGACUUACCUGUAAAAUCUGCGCUCCGAUAGUAAUUUACACCCACACGGGCUUAAGUAUAAAUGACCGUCACUCUCGUGCGCACAACCCAGAAGUUUAUCUGGUUAUCUUACAGGUAAGAGUACAAUGUAUUAGUUUAGAAGUAUAAUUUAUUAUUACAUUUAGAUUCUUUUUCAUAAAUUGUUUUAAGUCUUUCUUAUGAAAAUGUACUGAGUUGUAUAAUGAAUAAAGUUAAAAGAAUUAUUUAAUCAACACGUUUAGUAUUUUAUUUGAAUUUCUGUAUGCUUUCAUUUUUCUUGAACUCGUAUAAUUGUAUGAACUCCUCAACAGUAUUGAUAUGUUUUAGAAUUAUUUUUUUUAUUAAUUCUAGUCACAAUAAUUAAUUUUGUUACAAUUUGCUAUGUUAAAAAUUGUAUCAUGUUAUUCAUGUGUUACUUUUAAUCAAAUUUGUUAUUUUAUUGCAUUAUUUAUUCAUCACACAUUAAAUUGUGACUUAUUGUGACCGUUCUAAUAUAUUUUUCUGGUUAUCUUACAGUUUUGUCUUCUGGUCGUGUUUCGGAUUGAGAGACAAAACCUGGUACCUCUCAAUGAAAAUUGAAAAAUGAAUUUGAGUUUCGCUUCCCCAGCUGGUACGUACACCAACAUCCGUUAGAGCACCAAUCCGUAACAAUUGAAAUAACUGUUUCGUCAAGCUAUAUAUUUGAAAAUGAGUGAAGCGUCCAAACACGACACACAGUGCAAAUAACAAAUCACAAAAAGAAAAAUAAAUAGAAGAAUGUGGCAAAAAAAGCCUUAUUAGAAGGCAUGUAGCUUAUAAGUAUUUAUGUUUACCUUAUUUAAACAUCAAUAUCUGUUAAAUAUUUGCUAAGUAACAUAAUAAGAUGCAAGUCAGUCAGAUUCUGUUACUCAUUAAUUUUCAUUUUAUUCAUGUUGACCCCAUAUUAUUUUGUAUCAUUUGAACAUUUUGCUAUUAAUUAAGCGGAAA
Molecule: long non-coding RNA, 3283 nt
Organism: Mya arenaria
Lineage: Eukaryota; Metazoa; Mollusca; Bivalvia; Myida; Myidae
Exons: 4
Source: RefSeq, a predicted model, not a curated record